UUUACAGACAGGAAAUCAAAGCUGUGAGAGGUUAAAUCGCUUGCCUGAGAUCAUCCUGCAAAUCUGAUGGAGACAAGACUGAGUAAAUAGUGAAUCUAAAGCUUCAGACAGCAGUUCUGCCUCCACUUAGGUUAUAGGAUGAUUUGUGGUCUAGUGGCACUUUUUAUCGCACAUUUACAGCAUGUCAAUGUAACCGUUAAUGCACUGUAAAAAUGCUUCUUUGUAAGAAAUAGUGUGGUGGUUUCUUUAUUUUCAUUUUAAAAAUUCUUAUGAGUGCCAUGCUAUUUUGGAUCACUGACUAGUUUUAGUAUUUUCCUCAUUAUUUGUGACUACUUACAAACUGUUUAGCCAUUGCCAUGUUUAUAAUUUGAAUGAGGUAUAGUUAGCAAUGAGUUAAUCUUUUUUAGUUUUGUUUUGUUUUUAAUGGGCUCUUUCAAUUUGUGGAAACGUAGAAUUUGUUUCCAUGGUAACUUUUAGGCUUCAAGGCUUGUGGGAAAAAGACUGGUCUUGAAACAAACUUCUGCAGAAGAGAUUGAGCCUGAAUCCUCAAAUGUGCUGCGUGCUCGUUUAUGCUAGCCUUUCACCAACCAAUGAUGGAAGGAAAACAACACUGGAAGAAGUUGUCCAUUCAGUUGGCUAUCGGAGUAGCCACAUGCAGAUGCUGGGCCACUGUGGCAUAGACUGGAGAAUGUGAGUACCUUCUAUUUUCUUGCACUCUUCUAUGUUUCAAGCUUGCAGAGAGUCAGCUC
This 749-nucleotide long non-coding RNA is filed under the name Struthio camelus australis. RNAcentral's name for it is "lncRNA (ENSSCUG00000017053.1)". The record is from RNAcentral. Lineage: Eukaryota; Metazoa; Chordata; Aves; Struthioniformes; Struthionidae.